CCUACGGGGAGCUGCAGUGGGGAAUAUUGCACAAUGGAGGGAACUCUGAUCCAGCGAUGCCGCGUGGGUGAGGAAGGCCUUCUGAAUGGAAAGCUGUAUCAGCAGGGAGGAAAAUGACGGUACGUGUCUCUGUCUGCACGGCUAACUCCGUGCCAGAAGCAGCGGUACUACGUAGGGGGCAGGCGUUAUCCGGAUUUACUGGGUGUAAGGGGUGCGUAGACGGCGUGACAAGUUAGAGGUGAAAGGCCGAGGCUCAACCUCGGAACUGCAUUGGAAACUGUUAUGCAAGAGAGCAGGUGGGGCAGGCGGAAUGUAUGGUGUAGCGGUGAAAUGCUUAGAGAUCAGACAGAACACCGAUUGCGAAGGCAGCUUGC
RNAcentral lists this ribosomal RNA (374 nucleotides) under uncultured bacterium. Its description in RNAcentral is "partial 16S ribosomal RNA". It matches the Rfam family "Bacterial small subunit ribosomal RNA", at positions 338 to 729 of the family's 1533-position model. The record is from RNAcentral.